Unclassified non-coding RNA from Fukomys damarensis (Damara mole-rat), 349 nucleotides. Its record names the gene 7SK. It matches the Rfam family "7SK RNA". From Rfam's summary of the family: 7SK was discovered as an abundant small nuclear RNA in the mid-70s but a possible function has only recently been suggested. Two independent studies have found that 7SK RNA binds the CDK9/cyclin T complex (known as elongation factor P-TEFb). NCBI's taxonomy places the organism in Eukaryota, Metazoa, Chordata, Mammalia, Rodentia, Bathyergidae. The record is from Ensembl.
GGGUGUGAGGAUGACUUGGCUGCAAAAUAUGUUACCCCACUGAUUGAUCACCAGGGUUGAUGUGGCUGAUCUGGCUGGCCAGACAGGUGUCCCCUUCCUCCCUCACUGCUCCAUGUGUGUCCCUCCCAAAGCUGCAAAGCUGAGGUCGAAGAGGAUGACCACCCUGUUAGUUAGACCAUUUCCUAGGUCAAGGGUUUAAGAGUAGCUGGGCUCCCCUGCCAGAACCUUCAAACAAGCUCUCAAAGUAUGGGCUGAAGAAUCACUAGAGACACCCAGGAUCUUUUCAGCCUGGGUGGCAACAAAAACAAUGACACAGUUUCAUAGUAAAAGUAUGAGGUUAUUUGCCUUU